AGCGAACGCUGGCGGUAGGCCUAACACAUGCAAGUCGAACGGCAGCACAGUAAGAGCUUGCUCUUACGGGUGGCGAGUGGCGGACGGGUGAGGAAUACAUCGGAAUCUACUUUGUCGGGGGGGAUAACGGAGGGAAACUGACGCUAAUACCGCAUACGACCUACGGGUGAAAGCAGGGGAUCAUCGGGCCUUGCGCGAUCGAAUGAGCCGAUGUCUGAUUAGCUAGUUGGCGGGGUAAAGGCCCACCAAGCCGACGAUCCGUAGCUGGUCUGAGAGGAUGACCGGCCACUCGGGACCUGGGCACCGGCCCAACCUCCUACGGGAGGAGCCGUUGGGGAAUAUUGGACAAUGGGCGAAAUCCUGCUCCAGCCCGCCCGCGUGGGUGAGGAAGGCCUUCGGGUUUUAAAGCCCUUUUGUUGGGAAAGAAAAGCAGCAGGGUGAUACCCCGCUGUACUGACGGUACCCAACGAAUAAGCACCGGCUAACUUCGUG
RNAcentral lists this ribosomal RNA (492 nucleotides) under uncultured bacterium. Its description in RNAcentral is "partial 16S ribosomal RNA". It matches the Rfam family "Bacterial small subunit ribosomal RNA", at positions 29 to 507 of the family's 1533-position model. The record is from RNAcentral.